This 496-nucleotide ribosomal RNA is filed under the name uncultured bacterium. RNAcentral's name for it is "partial 16S ribosomal RNA". It matches the Rfam family "Bacterial small subunit ribosomal RNA", at positions 28 to 506 of the family's 1533-position model. The record is from RNAcentral.
GAUGAACGCUGGCGGCGUGCCUAAUACAUGCAAGUCGAGCGAACAGACGAGGAGCUUGCUCCUCUGACGUUAGCGGCGGACGGGUGAGUAACACGUGGAUAACCUACCUAUAAGACUGGGAUAACUUCGGGAAACCGGAGCUAAUACCGGAUAAUAUAUUGAACCGCAUGGUUCAAUAGUGAAAGACGGUUUUGCUGUCACUUAUAGAUGGAUCCGCGCCGCAUUAGCUAGUUGGUAAGGUAACGGCUUACCAAGGCAACGAUGCGUAGCCGACCUGAGGGGGUGAUCGGCCACACUGGAACUGAGACACGGUCCAGACUCCUACGGGAGGCAGCAGUAGGGAAUCUUCCGCAAUGGGCGAAAGCCUGACGGAGCAACGCCGCGUGAGUGAUGAAGGUCUUCGGAUCGUAAAACUCUGUUAUUAGGGAAGAACAAAUGUGUAAGUAACUAUGCACGUCUUGACGGUACCUAAUCAGAAAGCCACGGCUAACUACGU